GUGUGGAAACACCUGUUCCCAUUCCGAAUACAGUAGUUAAGCAUACUUCAGUUGAUGAUACUGGUGGGAUUCCCGCUGGGAAAGUAAA
Molecule: ribosomal RNA, 88 nt
Filed under: candidate division SR1 bacterium
Lineage: Bacteria; Candidatus Absconditibacteriota
Source: RNAcentral